This 26-nucleotide small RNA is filed under the name Bombyx mori (domestic silkworm). RNAcentral's name for it is "ovarian small RNA-11595". Lineage: Eukaryota; Metazoa; Arthropoda; Insecta; Lepidoptera; Bombycidae. The record is from RNAcentral.
ACGGUGUUCACGGUCGGGUUUGGGAU